This is a non-coding RNA of Varroa destructor (honeybee mite), 1313 nucleotides long. NCBI's taxonomy places the organism in Eukaryota, Metazoa, Arthropoda, Arachnida, Mesostigmata, Varroidae. The record is from RefSeq and is a predicted model, not a curated record.
AAGGCACAUUCCUUUCACUCUCCUUAUCGGAAAGGAUAUCUGGAGAGUCGUCAAAGCGCCAGCAGCUAAUCCGGCAGAUUUUCCCCACGCGUGACGACUGUGCGGACUGACAGCGACGACCCAAACCGUACCGAAUAGAUCGAUAUGCCUUCUGUCUCGAGCCACAUCCUCUCUCUUCACUUUGAUAAACCAGGCAUCUCGCGACUUCUGCCUCGAAGAGGUAAAACUCCUGCGUCGUUUUGGUUUGCAUUACCGUCAGCAACGGCACACUGCAUUGCCCCAUUGAACUUGUUUGCUUAUGGGUGUCAGCUGUGGUUAUCUUGUCACGAAUUAACGGUGUCGUUUCCCAUUUACGGCUGUUUUGGUGGUCAUCUUUGGGUAUAUUAUCAUUGUUUCGUGCUUUGGACACUGCUUACUUCGCGAUACACACAGCGAUUUAGCCAAGUCUAAAUUAUGCAUCGAGGUUUAUGAAAUUUGUUUUGAGUAGCGAAACUCUUCUGCAAGGUAUGACAUUGUCGAACUAGUAAACCUUUGGAGCGUUCCCGUACAUGGAGGAAACGAGACAUCACCCACGCAUAUGGCUGGCGAUGGGAAAACUCCAAAAAAGUCAAGCUGCUUGUUUCGAAUCGCCGAACAGCGAAAAUCCUGGAACAUGCCACGUGCCAGAGGAGUGUGGUUUAGAGUACAAACUCUGUUGCCUGCAAUGAACGUGUUAUUAUUAAUGCUAUCAACUAUGAAUAACUGUAUGCCAACGUCCUGACUAGCCGCAUUCAAAUGUCUUCUUCCACUCAACUGGCUCCCUUUCUCAGACACUCCAGUCGGCUAACGGCAUGAGCCAUCUAACGUCGUAGCUGAAUCGAAUAACGGAGCGCAAUUCUUUAAAAAUAAUUUGGUAAUAACAGUUAAAUAGAGUUUUCAAACCCGAUGAUUUAGUUCCUAUAAAAAAAAAAACAGUGAAGGUACCGUAUAUUGUAAAGCUCUAGUAAAAUUAUUGUCUCCUAUAUAAAUUCGUUCGCUCUAUCUUAACAUGUAAAAUAUUCACCCUUAUUGUGAACAGUUAUAGAAUAUGACGGUUAGCUUCUAUAGGGAGAGAUAAUCGCAAAUAAGCCUGUGAUAAUAAUUACUUGUAACAGUUCCUGUAACAUUAAUUCAUCAUAAUAAAAUAAUGAAUUUCAAUAAUUGAAAACGUAAUAACUUCUGAUCACCAUGUGCGUACAGCUUUUUUUGUUAUAAUCUUCUGAAAUGCAUGUUCCACAUAGCAUGAGCUUGACAGUUUAUCAAAAUUAUUCUUAUGUUAUCUGGUAGGAGAGACU